RNAcentral lists this ribosomal RNA (440 nucleotides) under uncultured bacterium. Its description in RNAcentral is "partial 16S ribosomal RNA". It matches the Rfam family "Bacterial small subunit ribosomal RNA", at positions 338 to 795 of the family's 1533-position model. The record is from RNAcentral.
CCUACGGGAGGCAGCAGUGGGGGAUAUUGCACAAUGGGGGGAACCCUGAUGCAGCGACGCCGCGUGAGCGAAGAAGUACCUCGGUAUGUAAAGCUCUAUCAGCAGGGAAGUAAAUGACGGUACCUGACUAAGAAGCCCCGGCUCAAUACGUGCCAGCAGCCGCGGUAAUACGUAUGGGGCAAGCUUUCUCCGGAUGUACUGGGUGUAAAGGGAGCUCAGGCGGCCUGCCAAGUCUGGUGUGAAAACCCUGGGCCCAACCCCGGGCCUGCAGUGGAAACUGGCAGGCUGGAGUGGCGGAGGGGCAGGCGGAAGUCGUAGUGUAGCGGUGAAAUGCGUAGAUAUUAGGAGGAACGCCGGUGGCGAAGGCGGCCUGCUGGACGAUGACUGACGCUGAGGCUCGAAAGCGUGGGGAGCAAACAGGAUUAGAUACCCCUGUAGUC